UUUAAACACAGUCAUAAGUUUCUCUGUGUCUAACUUUGAUCAUCGUCGUAUUUAAAUUUUUUUAUGAUUAGUAUGUUUACUGUUAUUAAAUGAUAAAAAAUAAAUAUUACUUUAUGCGUAACUUAUAUUUUUUUAUUUUUUAAAAAAAAAUUAAAUAAAACAAACGAUUAAAGUUGGACACAGAAACUGGUUGUGUCUUAAA
RNAcentral lists this microRNA precursor (202 nucleotides) under Oryza rufipogon (brownbeard rice). RNAcentral describes it as "MIR812 microRNA precursor family". It matches the Rfam family "MIR812 microRNA precursor family". The record is from Rfam by way of RNAcentral. Lineage: Eukaryota; Viridiplantae; Streptophyta; Magnoliopsida; Poales; Poaceae.